Molecule: ribosomal RNA, 482 nt
Filed under: uncultured bacterium
Lineage: Bacteria
Description: partial 16S ribosomal RNA
Rfam family: Bacterial small subunit ribosomal RNA
Source: RNAcentral
GACGAACGCUGGCGGCGCGCCUAACACAUGCAAGUCGAACGAGAAAGAAGGAGCUUGCUUCUUCGAUCGAGUGGCGAACGGGUGAGUAACGCGUGAGGAACCUGCCUCAAAGAGGGGGACAACAGUUGGAAACGACUGCUAAUACCGCAUAAGCCCACGGGUCGGCAUCGACCAGAGGGAAAAGGAGCAAUCCGCUUUGAGAUGGCCUCGCGUCCGAUUAGCUAGUUGGUGAGGUAACGGCCCACCAAGGCGACGAUCGGUAGCCGGACUGAGAGGUUGAAAGGCCACAUUGGGACUGAGACACGGCCCAGACACCUACGGGAGGCAGCAGUGGGGAAUAUUGCACGAUGGGGGAAACCCUGAUGCAGCCACGCCGCGUGGAGGAAGAAGGUCUUCGGAUUGUAAACUCCUGUUGUUGAGGAAGAUAAUGACGGUACUCAACAAGGAAGUGACGGCUAACUACGUGCCAGCCGCCGCCGUAA